RNAcentral lists this ribosomal RNA (240 nucleotides) under uncultured Lactobacillus sp. RNAcentral describes it as "partial 16S ribosomal RNA". It matches the Rfam family "Bacterial small subunit ribosomal RNA", at positions 122 to 356 of the family's 1533-position model. Lineage: Bacteria; Bacillati; Bacillota; Bacilli; Lactobacillales; Lactobacillaceae. The record is from RNAcentral.
UAACCUGCCCAAGAGAUCGGGAUAACACCUGGAAACAGAUGCUAAUACCGGAUAACAACAGAUGAUGCCUAUCAACUGUUUAAAAGAUGGUUCUGCUAUCACUCUUGGAUGGACCUGCGGUGCAUUAGCUAGUUGGUAGGGUAACGGCCUACCAAGGCGAUGAUGCAUAGCCGAGUUGAGANACUGAUCGGCCACAUUGGGACUGAGACACGGCCCAAACUCCUACGGGAGGCAGCAGCG